This 253-nucleotide ribosomal RNA is filed under the name uncultured bacterium. Its description in RNAcentral is "partial 16S ribosomal RNA". It matches the Rfam family "Bacterial small subunit ribosomal RNA", at positions 524 to 776 of the family's 1533-position model. The record is from RNAcentral.
UACAGAGGUCUCAAGCGUUGUUCGGAUUUAUUGGGCGUAAAGGGCGCGUAGGCGGCGGGGUAAGUCGGGUGUGAAAUCUCAGGGCUCAACCCUGAAACUGCACUUGAUACUGCCCUGCUUGAGGACUGGAGAGGAGACUGGAAUUCACGGUGUAGCAGUGAAAUGCGUAGAUAUCGUGAGGAAGACCAGUGGCGAAGGCGGGUCUCUGGACAGUUCCUGACGCUGAGGCGCGAAGGCCAGGGGAGCAAACGGG